RNAcentral lists this ribosomal RNA (393 nucleotides) under uncultured methanogenic archaeon. RNAcentral's name for it is "bacterial SSU rRNA". It matches the Rfam family "Archaeal small subunit ribosomal RNA", at positions 39 to 436 of the family's 1478-position model. The record is from RNAcentral. Lineage: Archaea; Methanobacteriati; Methanobacteriota.
AUCGACUAGCAUGCGGAGUCAAGGUGUCUUCGGACGCCGGCAUACGGCUCAGUAACACGCAGUAAACCUACCCUCAGGACUGAGAUAACCCCGGGAAACUGGGGCUAAUAUUAGAUAGAUAAAAGGAUAUUGGAAUGUUCUUUUAUCCAAAGCUUUUGCGCCUGAGGAUGGGCCUGCGUCCGAUUAGGUUGUUGGUGGGGUAAUGGCCCACCAAGCCUGCGAUCGGUACGGGCAGUGGGAGCUGAAGCCCGGAGUUGGGGACUGAGACAAGGCCCCAGGCCCUACGGGGCGCAGCAGGCGCGAAACCUCUGCAAUGCGGGAAACCGUGACAGGGGGAUCCCAAGUGCUCAUGCAUUGCAUGGGCUGUUCUUUGGUCUAAGUAACCAGAGGAGU